UACGUAGGUGGCAAGCGAUACUCGGAAUCACUAGGCGUAAAGCGCAGGUAGGCGGUUCGGUAAGUCUUUUGUGAAAGCUCCUGGCUCAACUGGGAGAGGUCAAGGGAAACUACCGGACUAGAGUGUGGUAGGGGAUACUGGAAUUCCUGGUGCAGCGGUGAAAUGCGUAGAUAUCAGGAGGAAUACCUAUGGCGAAAGCAGGUAUCUGGGCCAUCACUGACGCUGAGCUGCGAAAGCGUGGGGAGCAAACAGG
Molecule: ribosomal RNA, 253 nt
Filed under: uncultured bacterium
Lineage: Bacteria
Description: partial 16S ribosomal RNA
Rfam family: Bacterial small subunit ribosomal RNA
Source: RNAcentral